AAACAUAAAAAAUGACAUCUAUGAUAGAGUUGUUAUGAGAAAAUAUCUGCCUAAAGCACUGAGCUCAGUGCAGUGUUACAGUAAGUGGUUAAUAAACAAAUUAUUAAUGUCAUGAUUGAUUUAAUCAUUUUCAGAAGCUUUUGCAUCUAUGACCUCAUUUCCUCUGCAUAUUAACCCAAGAAAUUGAGAGAUCUGAUCAGAAGUAGAUCUGGUAAAAUUAAAGCACUCAAUGAGUGGUUGCUUCUGGCAUCACUAUCACCAUUCCCAUCAUCACCAUCAUCAUCAACUUUGUCAUUAUCACCAUCACAAUCAUCACCACCACCACCACCAUCAUCACCAGCUUCAUCAUCAGCAUCAUCAUAAGAAUCAGAUCAUCACCACGAUUACUUUUGCCACAAUCAUCAUGAGCAUCACCAACACCAUGAUUGCUAUCACUACCACCAGUGUCCCAUUGUUGUUACCAUCAUGAUCAUCAUUAUCACCAUUGCCUUCAUCACAAUCUCCACCACCAGCAUCAUCACUAAUAUAAGAUUUCUUUUAGAUUAUCCACCUUUUUGUGUAAAAAGUAAAGUAGAGGUUUCUCUUUUCUUCCCUGUCUAAUUAGGUAUAAAUAGUAACUUCUCUUAGAAGCAAAAUUUAUUCAAAGACCUGUGCUAACAUUCUUAGAUAUCUGCUAGCCAUAAUAAAGAAAUCAAUGUGCUUUGUGUUCUUAGCUCCCACAAUUUAGCCUAAAUAUUUGCCCUGGCAUGCUUAUGCUGGUCCAAACAAGCAUUAGGUCAUAGCCUGUUCCUCUUCCUUAUUUGGAGGGUUUUCACCUUUCCCAGCAUUCCAUAAGUUACUUCCUCCUUCCUUUGUUCUCCUCUGCCUUUGCCUCUUUAGAAAGUUCUAAGCUGCUAGCCAAUCAGGACAAAUACAGAAUGUGAGGUUCCAUUCCAGCCAAUGGAAACCGGACACAGCAGUAGGGUGGACGUGUCAGGUGCAGAUCAUAUUUUCUGCUUAGAGCAGAUUCCUUCCUGGGCAGACAUUGAGCACACAGCCAGCUGCAGUGGGCACCAGAGACAUUGCGUCCUUUCUACUCUUCAUGUCCUGAUCCCAGUGAUAAUCUUUGAGGCCCCAGUCGGUGGUUCUUUUUUUUUUU
This 1138-nucleotide long non-coding RNA is filed under the name Homo sapiens (human). RNAcentral describes it as "HSALNT0312011". The record is from RNAcentral. Lineage: Eukaryota; Metazoa; Chordata; Mammalia; Primates; Hominidae.